AAGUAGAGUGAUCGAAAGAUGAAAAGCACUUUGGAAAGAGAGUUAAAAAGUACGUGAAAUUGUUGAAAGGGAAGCGCUUGCAACCAGACUCGUCCGCAGUUGCUCAGCCGGUCUCUUGACCGGCGUACUCUUCUGCGGCCGGGCCAGCAUCAGUUCGGACGGCCGGAUAAAGGCCUCGGGAAUGUAGCACCCUUCGGGGUGUGUUAUAGCCCGGGGUGGAAUGCGGCCAGCCUGGACUGAGGAUCUCGCCGGCU
This 254-nucleotide ribosomal RNA is filed under the name Pseudofusicoccum ardesiacum. RNAcentral's name for it is "partial 28S ribosomal RNA". It matches the Rfam family "Eukaryotic large subunit ribosomal RNA", at positions 346 to 610 of the family's 3401-position model. The record is from RNAcentral. Lineage: Eukaryota; Fungi; Ascomycota; Dothideomycetes; Botryosphaeriales; Botryosphaeriaceae.